GCCCCCGUAGCUCAAAGGACAGAGCUCCGCAGUCCUAACGCGGCGAUAGAGGUUCAAUUCCUCUCGGGGGUACCA
RNAcentral lists this transfer RNA (75 nucleotides) under Candidatus Tayloriibacteriota bacterium. RNAcentral describes it as "tRNA-Arg". It matches the Rfam family "tRNA". From Rfam's summary of the family: Transfer RNA (tRNA) molecules are approximately 80 nucleotides in length. Lineage: Bacteria; Candidatus Tayloriibacteriota. The record is from RNAcentral.